UUUUACAUGAAAUAGAAGCAAAAGCAAAAGUCCUGUCAAACAGACUUCAAAGAUAAAAACAGAAGCAAUAGUAAUCCGUCAAGCAGGCUCUUACUAAGCAUGUCUUGCAGCAUAAGAUGGGAAUCCAAAAUGCCGUAUUCCAGUGACCUUUUCGCAUGUCACAAGUAAGAAUUCAUAUGUAGAGCUCAUCAGUCAUGGAACAAUAUUUAUAAUAAGAUGUUGUCUCAAUGAAAAAAAAAGCCCAAAUGUGACUUUGGACAAAACCACCCCAUCUCCGAAAAAAAAAUAUUGCCUUCCCGAACCCUAAUUAAAUCCUACAAAUCGAUCAAGUUGGACAAUAUUAAAGAAAAAGAAAGCAAAACACAAUUUGAACGAAUCAAACUUCUCAAUGCAAUUGGGAGGAUGUAAAACCAUGACUAUUCAUGAAUGUUGCUCGUUGUGUCUUGCCGAUCA
RNAcentral lists this long non-coding RNA (453 nucleotides) under Olea europaea (common olive). RNAcentral describes it as "long non-coding RNA (OEUR_LNC009998)". Lineage: Eukaryota; Viridiplantae; Streptophyta; Magnoliopsida; Lamiales; Oleaceae. The record is from RNAcentral.